UCUAAAGCGCCUAUGGAAGAAUGACCGAUUCUUCAACCAGAUCUCCUAUUACUUGGCCGUUGCUUUGGUAAUCUGGGCGGUCUUUUCGAUUUUGAAAUGGGUCGUGAAACGUAUCUUAAAAAAAAAAUAAUGAUUCGAAAUAGAAGGUCCAUUUUUUUAUGUCAGCAGAAGAAGUCCAAGCCCACGAAAUUGUUGAUAUGGUCCCGGAUUCCUCUUUCUUAAAAAAAAAUAAAGAAAAAUAUACUAUGCCUACGCUAAUAUUAAGUAAAAAAGCAUGGCACUUCGAAAACAUCACAAACUAUUCUGGAUACUCCAAAAUAGUAUCACAUCGCUUGGUAAUCGAGGCUAACAGUAGUUUAUAUAUAUACAAC
RNAcentral lists this long non-coding RNA (371 nucleotides) under Trifolium pratense (red clover). Its description in RNAcentral is "long non-coding RNA (TPRA_LNC013980)". The record is from RNAcentral. Lineage: Eukaryota; Viridiplantae; Streptophyta; Magnoliopsida; Fabales; Fabaceae.